This is a long non-coding RNA of Lagenorhynchus albirostris (white-beaked dolphin), 986 nucleotides long. RefSeq lists it as uncharacterized. The transcript has 4 exons. NCBI's taxonomy places the organism in Eukaryota, Metazoa, Chordata, Mammalia, Artiodactyla, Delphinidae. The record is from RefSeq and is a predicted model, not a curated record.
UCAUGGAGACACACCCAUCUCAAAUGUCCAGAAAUGCCACCUCUCUGGAGGAUGGUCCUAUCUGGGGCACGUCAGGAGUCUAGAAGGUAGACAGCAAAGGUGAGAAAGUAGAGAGCUGGCUCUCCAGCCCAGGAUGCAUGAAGGCGUGAGGGAAGGUGGCUAGGAGAAGCACCUAUCAGCAGCACAGAAGGGCCAAGUGAGCAGCUGCACGUGUGCACACAACAGUAGCGAGUGGAAUUUGCACCAUCCAGGUCAGAUGGAAAAUAGAAGCCUGGAAAAUCUGACAGUCUCAUUGAUUUGCUCGCCUUGCCAUCGCUACUUGAGAGGAGAAGCAAUGUGAUUUCAAAAUUGCAAUUAGGAGCCAGCCCGUUAAGGGUUCCUCUCAUGAGCUCCCGUGCUGUGCGGCUCCCAGGCCCACCUUGUCUCAUUUCCUGAGUAGCUCUUAGUCUGGCCCUUGUUUCUACCACUCUGCCGAAACCACUCUCUUCAAGGCCAUCCUCAUCUUCUAUGUUGCCCAGCCUGUGACCAGGACAAGUGGACCAGACAUACAAGUUUCCUGACACAGUGGCAUCUCAAGGGGUGCCUGAUGCCUACCUGCCUGGCACCACAGCAUGGAUUUCUGCACAGAUGCUACCUCUGUGGGCAGAGGCCAGGCUGACGUUUAUGUGGAUGUCAAGACCAGCCUUCAGUCUGUUUUCCGAUGCAACCACAGCUGCUGCAGGGCCCAUCUCGUCUGAGCAGCUCGGCAGUUUGGUGUGGCUGUCUAGGUUUUGUCAGAUGGAACGUGAGCAGAAGCGAUGUGUUCUACCUCCAGGCCUAACCCAUAAAAAGCCCCUGGGAACACUCCUCCAUGCCUUUGCCGCUUCCAUAAGCUGGACACAGAUGACGAGGAGGAGCCAGGGAAAAGUGGAGCCACAAACUAGAAGGAGCACGAGUCCCAGAGUGACACUUCAAAGACUGCCAUGUGAGCAGGAAAUAAACAUCCA